Molecule: long non-coding RNA, 959 nt
Filed under: Numida meleagris (helmeted guineafowl)
Lineage: Eukaryota; Metazoa; Chordata; Aves; Galliformes; Numididae
Description: lncRNA (ENSNMEG00000001691.1)
Source: RNAcentral
CUUAGGUAUUUUAUGAAUUUUUGCCAAGAAAAUACUGAACUGAUAAACUGACACCUGCAACAACAAUAAGGCUACUGUAGUGGAAAUUCAAACAGCUUGAAACAGUGACUGAGCACCUGGUAAGAAGGAAGGGCCAACCCAUGGGAGCUUAGGUGUAUGCAGUGCGCCUCAGUGACCAGAAGUACGGUCACUCAGAAGAAGGUGAGAGUGUCUUAUUGGAGAUUCAUGCAUACCUGAGGCCUUAUGAAGGUCUACAUUUUCUAUGUGCACAGGAGACUUUUCAUGAAUAUUGUUCUGCAGCUGAGUAAUGAAAUUGCAUGUCAUCACUGUGAUUCACCCAUAUAAAAUUACUUCCAGAAAAAGGUAAUGGAAAUCUUCACUGCAGCAUUCAGUUUGAAGAAACCUGGUAUUUCAACAAAAGGAAACAACAGUUCUUGGAACAAGUGACAUACAGAGGAAAUUUCUUUCUGGGACUACUAAAACCACGUAGUGUCACCAACAGUGCAUACAGCCAUGUUUCAGACUUCAACCCAGCCCUCUUAUGUUACAUUUGUAAUCUAAGUAAGGAGGGAGAAUUCCAGGAAGAAAACAUCUCAAAAGGUCCAUCAGUAUCUAUGAAAAUAAGACUCUCCUUAGGGCAUGACCACUGUUUGCAAGUUAGAGCUUUCAAAUGCCAUGAUAAAGCAGCGCUUCCCAGCAGAAGCUGAACAUUUUUAAGUCAAGUCUUCUGUAGAAGACUUUGGGAAACCAUUACCCAGGACACCCAGGGAUGCCAGUCAUGUGAGGUUUUGCUGCACUGCUUCUCUGGCUGCCUCAUGCUACAGGGGUGGUAUACUUCAGCAGCUGGCUUCGCAACUGGAGAAAGAAAAGAACAGUGAGAUUGAUUUCAUCAGUGGAAAAGAACAGGGUUUCUGAGAUCACUUCUUUUUUUUUUUAAAUAAAAAAAAUAUAUUCCCACA